Molecule: long non-coding RNA, 359 nt
Organism: Nerophis ophidion (straightnose pipefish)
Lineage: Eukaryota; Metazoa; Chordata; Actinopteri; Syngnathiformes; Syngnathidae
Exons: 3
Source: RefSeq, a predicted model, not a curated record
CCCCGCUGUCACUCCUUCUGCUUGUAAAAGCUAGCUUACAUGCUAGUUGCUAGACGAGAGGCAGUGCAACUGUCAGUGUUUUGAAGGAUGUCAAUGAAAAGAAAAGUGGAUAUAAGAGACUUCUUUAGGAGUCAAACUGUGACAGACAGCAGAGAGGCUGGAGGAGAUUGAGGAGGAGAGGCCAGAGAAGUUAGAGGAAGAGAGGCAGGAGGAAGUAAAGAAGGAGAGGCUGGAGAUUAUUACAGUUCAUUUAUGUUUAUUUACAAUGUUGUAUCGCAUGAAUGUUUUUCUGAUGAUGUUGAUGGACAGUAGUCUAUGUUAAUUGACAGUACGAUGCACAGUUGCACCACAGCCCUACA